Molecule: ribosomal RNA, 619 nt
Filed under: Carcinomyces sp. DMKU-PAL196
Lineage: Eukaryota; Fungi; Basidiomycota; Tremellomycetes; Tremellales; Carcinomycetaceae
Description: partial large subunit ribosomal RNA
Rfam family: Eukaryotic large subunit ribosomal RNA
Source: RNAcentral
AAACUAAAAAGGAUUCCCCUAGUAACGGCGAGCGAACCGGGAAGAGCUCAAAUUUAAAAUCUGGCGUUCUUUGAGCGUCCGAGUUGUAAUCUAUAGAGGCGUUUUCUGUGCUGGACCGUGUCCAAGUUCCUUGGAACAGGAUAUCAAAGAGGGUGACAAUCCCGUAUUUGACACGAUACCCAGUGCUCUGUGAUACGCUCUCGACGAGUCGAGUUGUUUGGGAAUGCAGCUCUAAACGGGUGGUAAAUUCCAUCUAAAGCUAAAUAUUGGCGAGAGACCGAUAGCGAACAAGUACCGUGAGGGAAAGAUGAAAAGCACUUUGAAAAGAGAGUGAAACAGUAUGUGAAAUUGUUGAAAGGGAAACGAUUGAAGUCAGUCGUGUCUUGAGGGGUUCACUUGUUUUCUAGCAAGGUAUUCCCCUCUUGAUGGGUCAACAUCAGUUAGAUUCGGUGGAUAAGAGCAGAGAGAACGUAGCUCCCCCGGGAGUGUUAUAGCUUUUUGUUGCAUACACUGGACUUGACUGAGGAACGCAGCUCGCCGCAAGGCUUGGCUUUGGCCAAAUACGAGCUUAGGAUGUUGGCAUAAUGGCUUUAAACGACCCGUCUUGAACCACGGACCA